Molecule: unclassified non-coding RNA, 258 nt
Filed under: Hevea brasiliensis (rubber tree)
Lineage: Eukaryota; Viridiplantae; Streptophyta; Magnoliopsida; Malpighiales; Euphorbiaceae
Source: RNAcentral
UGCUCUAUGCUUGCAGCCAUUCAGGAAUGGUUGAUGAAGGGAUUAAAUACUUCAAUGAAAUGAGCAAAAACUUCGGUGUUGUUCCUGGAGAAGAACACUAUGCUUGCAUGGUUGAUCUUUUGGGUCGUGCUGGUCGCUUGGAUGAGGCCAUGAAGCUCAUUGAUGGUAUGCCUAUGGAAACAGGUCCUAUAGUGUGGGUAGCGUUGCUAAGUGGUUGCAGGAAACAUGCUAAUGUGGAACUUGGGGAGUAUGCUGCAA